This 496-nucleotide ribosomal RNA is filed under the name uncultured bacterium. Its description in RNAcentral is "bacterial SSU rRNA". It matches the Rfam family "Bacterial small subunit ribosomal RNA", at positions 8 to 521 of the family's 1533-position model. The record is from RNAcentral.
AGAGUUUGAUCCUGGCUCAGGACGAACGCUGGCGGCGUGCCUAACACAUGCAAGUCGAACGGGGUUAUUUCUUCGGAGAUAACUUAGUGGCGAACGGGUGAGUAACGCGUGAGAAACCUGCCUUUCAGUGGGGGACAACAGUUGGAAACGACUGCUAAUACCGCAUAAUGUUAUUUGAGGGCGUCCUCGGAUAACCAAAGAUUUAUUGCUGAAAGAUGGUCUCGCGUCUGAUUAGCUAGAUGGCGGGGUAACGGCCCACCAUGGCGACGAUCAGUAGCCGGUCUGAGAGGAUGAACGGCCACAUUGGGACUGAGAUACGGCCCAGACUCCUACGGGAGGCAGCAGUGGGGAAUAUUGGGCAAUGGGCGAAAGCCUGACCCAGCAACGCCGCGUGAAGGAAGAAGGCCUUUCGGGUUGUAAACUUCUUUUAGCAGGGACGAAAUUUGACGGUACCUGCAGAAAAAGCAACGGCUAACUACGUGCCAGCAGCCGCGGU